RNAcentral lists this ribosomal RNA (301 nucleotides) under uncultured bacterium. RNAcentral describes it as "partial 16S ribosomal RNA". It matches the Rfam family "Bacterial small subunit ribosomal RNA", at positions 509 to 807 of the family's 1533-position model. The record is from RNAcentral.
CAGUAGCCGCGGGAAAACGAAGGGGGCUAGCGUUGCUCGGAAUUACUGGGCGUAAAGGGAGCGUAGGCGGAUCGUUAAGUUGGGGGUGAAAGCCCGGGGCUCAACCUCGGAACUGCCUUCAAUACUGGCGAUCUUGAGUAUGAGAGAGGUGUGUGGAACUCCGAGUGUAGAGGUGAAAUUCGUAGAUAUGCGGAGGAACACCGAUGGCGAAGGCAAUCCCCUGGGCCUGCACUGACGCUCAUGCACGAAAGCGUGGGGAGCGAACAGGAUUAGAUACCCCCGUAGUCCCUGUCUCUUAUAC